GGGGAAUAUUGCGCAAUGGGGGAACCCCUGAGGCACCGCCCCGGGGUGGGGGAAAAAGCUUUUGGGUUCGUAACCCUCUUCCGGGAGGGAAGAACCCCCCAGUUCGGAAAUGGCCUUGGGCUUGACGGAACUUCAAAAGGAAGCACCGGCUAACCCGGUGCCAGCAGCCGCGGUAAUACGGAGGGUGCAAGCGUUAAUCGGAAUCACUGGGCGUAAAGCGCGCGUAGGCGGCUUUUUAAGUCGGACGUGAAAGCCCUCGGCUCAACCGGGGAAUUGCGUUCGAAACUGGGAGGCUUGAGUCCUGGAGAGGGUGGCGGAAUUCCGGGUGUAGGAGUGAAAUCCGUAGAUAUCCGGAGGAACACCGGUGGCGAAGGCGGCCACCUGGACAGGUACUGACGCUGAGGCGCGAAAGCGUGGGGAGCAAACA
RNAcentral lists this ribosomal RNA (427 nucleotides) under uncultured Desulfovibrionaceae bacterium. RNAcentral's name for it is "bacterial SSU rRNA". It matches the Rfam family "Bacterial small subunit ribosomal RNA", at positions 356 to 774 of the family's 1533-position model. The record is from RNAcentral. Lineage: Bacteria; Pseudomonadati; Thermodesulfobacteriota; Desulfovibrionia; Desulfovibrionales; Desulfovibrionaceae.